UUUUAAGCUUCACAAUGGUUUCUUCAAAGAAAUCCUUACCUGGGAAUCUAGUUUAUUGCAUGGAGCUGCUUUGGGUGAAGCAGUGGUAAAAGAAAGAGGUCUGGAUUGCUGUCCAUCUGGUAUCCUGGAUCGUCUUCUAUCUGUUGUUAAUCCUUGAUGCAACCGUGAAGAUCUUCUGGGCUCUAAGAGAACCUUGUUUGAAGCACUGAUUUGAAAUAGAAGACAGGACAUGUUUCAGAAGGAGCAUGAUUUUCUAAAUAGAAGAAUAAAACUACAGAUAAGGUGGUGAAAUUAAUCUUGGAAAGAAGAAAAUAUUCUUGCUUCUUGAAGAAGAGGCAGAAAGAAUCGGUAAGCACUGACUGAUACAGUAAGGAUUUAGAGAUACCUGAGGGGAACCAUGGAAUUUAAAAGAUUGCAAGG
Long non-coding RNA from Heterocephalus glaber (naked mole-rat), 420 nucleotides. RefSeq lists it as uncharacterized. The record is from RefSeq and is a predicted model, not a curated record. NCBI's taxonomy places the organism in Eukaryota, Metazoa, Chordata, Mammalia, Rodentia, Bathyergidae.